CCUACGGGAGGCAGCAGUGGGGAAUAUUGCACAAUGGGGGAAACCCUGAUGCAGCGACGCCGCGUGAGUGAAGAAGUAAUUCGUUACGUAAAGCUCUAUCAGUAGGGAAGAAACACUGACCUUACGGUCAGCAGACGGUACCUGAGUAAGAAGCCCCGGCUAACUACGUGCCAGCAGCCGCGGUAAUACGUAGGGGGCAAGCGUCAUCCGGUUUUACUGGGUGUAAAGGGAGCGUAGACGGUGCGCCAAGUCUGGAGUGAAAUGCCGAAGCUUAACUGCGGAACUGCUUGGGAAACUGGCGAACUAGAGUGCGUGAGGGGUAAGCGGAAUUCCUAGUGUAGCGGUGAAAUGCGUAGAUAUUAGGAGGAACACCGGUGGCGAAGGCGGCUUACUGGACCGUAACUGACGUUGAGGCUCGAAAGCGUGGGGAGCAAACAGGAUUAGAUACCCGAGUAGUC
This 458-nucleotide ribosomal RNA is filed under the name uncultured bacterium. RNAcentral's name for it is "partial 16S ribosomal RNA". It matches the Rfam family "Bacterial small subunit ribosomal RNA", at positions 338 to 795 of the family's 1533-position model. The record is from RNAcentral.